This 798-nucleotide small RNA is filed under the name uncultured Chaetomium. RNAcentral describes it as "eukaryotic LSU rRNA". The stretch from base 524 to 798 matches the Rfam family "Eukaryotic large subunit ribosomal RNA", at positions 1 to 281 of the family's 3401-position model. The record is from RNAcentral. Lineage: Eukaryota; Fungi; Ascomycota; Sordariomycetes; Sordariales; Chaetomiaceae.
CUUGGUCAUUUAGAGGAAGUAAAAGUCGUAACAAGGUCUCCGUUGGUGAACCAGCGGAGGGAUCAUUAAAGAGUUGCAAAACUCCCACAACCAUCGCGAACGUUACCCGUAACCGUUGCCUCGGCGGCGUCGGCCCCUCCGGGGUCGCCCGCCGGCGGCACCCGAAACUAUGUUUUUGUAGGCCUCUCUGAGUAACUUAUCAAAUAAGUCAAAACUUUUAACAACGGAUCUCUUGGUUCUGGCAUCGAUGAAGAACGCAGCGAAAUGCGAUAAGUAAUGUGAAUUGCAGAAUUCAGUGAAUCAUCGAAUCUUUGAACGCACAUUGCGCCCGCCAGUAUUCUGGCGGGCAUGCCUGUUCGAGCGUCAUUUCAACCAUCAAGCCCCCGGGCUUGCGUUGGGGCCCUGCGGCUGCCGCAGACCCCUAAAACCAGUGGCGGGCUCGCUGUCACACCGAGCGCAGUAGCAAUAUCUCGCUCUGGGCGUGGCGCGGGUGCUUGCCGUAAAACACACCACUUAACAAGGUUAACCUCGGAUCAAGUAGGAAUACCCGCUGAACUUAAGCAUAUCAAUAAGCGGAGGAAAAGAAACCAACAGGGAUUGCCCCAGUAACGGCGAGUGAAGCGGCAACAGCUCAAAUUUGAAAUCUGGCCUCGGCCCGAGUUGUAAUUUGUAGAGGAAGCUUCUGGUGCGGCACCGGCUGAGUCCCCUGGAACGGGGCGCCAUAGAGGGUGAGAGCCCCGUAUAGCCGGCUGCCUAGCCUGUGUGAAGCUCCUUCGACGAGUCGAGUUGUUUGGGAAU